GACGAACGCUGGCGGCGUGCUUAACACAUGCACGUCGAACGGUAAGGCUCCAGCUUGCUGGGGUACACGAGUGGCGAACGGGUGAGUAACACGUGGGUGACCUGCCCUGCACUUCGGGAUAAGCCUGGGAAACUGGGUCUAAUACCGGAUAGGACCGCACCGUGAGGGUGUGGUGGAAAGUUUUUUCGGUGUGGGAUGGGCCCGCGGCCUAUCAGCUUGUUGGUGGGGUAAUGGCCUACCAAGGCGGCGACGGGUAGCCGGCCUGAGAGGGUGGACGGCCACAUUGGGACUGAGACACGGCCCAGACUCCUACGGGAGGCAGCAGUGGGGAAUAUUGCACAAUGGGCGGAAGCCUGAUGCAGCGACGCCGCGUGGGGGAUGACGGCCUUCGGGUUGUAAACUCCUUUCACCAUCGACGAAGGGUUUCUGACGGUAGAUGGAGAAGAAGCACCGGCUAACUACGUGCCAGCAGCCGCGGUAAUACGUAGGGUGCGAGCGUUGUCCGGAAUUACUGGGCGUAAAGAGCUCGUAGGUGGUUUGUCGCGUCGUCUGUGAAAUUCCGGGGCUUAACUCCGGGCGUGCAGGCGAUACGGGCAUAACUUGAGUACUGUAGGGGAGACUGGAAUUCCUGGUGUAGCGGUGAAAUGCGCAGAUAUCAGGAGGAACACCGGUGGCGAAGGCGGGUCUCUGGGCAGUAACUGACGCUGAGGAGCGAAAGCAUGGGGAGCGAACAGGAUUAGAUACCCUGGUAGUCCAUGCCGUAAACGGUGGGCGCUAGGUGUGGGUUUCCUUCCACGGGAUCCGUGCCGUAGCUAACGCAUUAAGCGCCCCGCCUGGGGAGUACGGCCGCAAGGCUAAAACUCAAAGGAAUUGACGGGGGCCCGCACAAGCGGCGGAGCAUGUGGAUUAAUUCGAUGCAACGCGAAGAACCUUACCUGGGCUUGACAUAUACAGGAUCGCGCCAGAGAUGGUGUUUCCCUUGUGGCUUGUAUACAGGUGGUGCAUGGUUGUCGUCAGCUCGUGUCGUGAGAUGUUGGGUUAAGUCCCGCAACGAGCGCAACCCUUGUCUUAUGUUGCCAGCACGUUGUGGUGGGGACUCGUAAGAAACUGCCGGGGUUAACUCGGAGGAAGGUGGGGAUGACGUCAAAUCAUCAUGCCCCUUAUGUCCAGGGCUUCACACAUGCUACAAUGGUCGGUACAGUGGGUUGCCAGUCCGUGAGGGCGAGCUAAUCCCGCAAAGCCGGUCUCAGUUCGGAUCGGGGUCUGCAACUCGACCCCGUGAAGUCGGAGUCGCUAGUAAUCGCAGAUCAGCAACGCUGCGGUGAAUACGUUCCCGGGCCU
This 1341-nucleotide ribosomal RNA is filed under the name uncultured bacterium. RNAcentral's name for it is "partial 16S ribosomal RNA". It matches the Rfam family "Bacterial small subunit ribosomal RNA", at positions 28 to 1381 of the family's 1533-position model. The record is from RNAcentral.